This 406-nucleotide ribosomal RNA is filed under the name uncultured Microbacterium sp. Its description in RNAcentral is "bacterial SSU rRNA". It matches the Rfam family "Bacterial small subunit ribosomal RNA", at positions 356 to 774 of the family's 1533-position model. The record is from RNAcentral. Lineage: Bacteria; Bacillati; Actinomycetota; Actinomycetes; Micrococcales; Microbacteriaceae.
GGGGAAUAUUGCACAAUGGGCGCAAGCCUGAUGCAGCAACGCCGCGUGAGGGACGACGGCCUUCGGGUUGUAAACCUCUUUUAGCAGGGAAGAAGCGAAAGUGACGGUACCUGCAGAAAAAGCGCCGGCUAACUACGUGCCAGCAGCCGCGGUAAUACGUAGGGCGCAAGCGUUAUCCGGAAUUAUUGGGCGUAAAGAGCUCGUAGGCGGUUUGUCGCGUCUGCUGUGAAAACUGGAGGCUCAACCUCCAGCCUGCAGUGGGUACGGGCAGACUAGAGUGCGGUAGGGGAGAUUGGAAUUCCUGGUGUAGCGGUGGAAUGCGCAGAUAUCAGGAGGAACACCGAUGGCGAAGGCAGAUCUCUGGGCCGUAACUGACGCUGAGGAGCGAAAGGGUGGGGAGCAAACA